AUUGAACGCUGGCGGCAGGCCUAACACAUGCGAGUCGAACGGUAACAGGGAACAGCUUGCUGUUUCGCUGACGAGUGGCGGACGGGUGAGUAAUGUCUGGGAAACUGCCUGAUGGAGGGGGAUAACUACUGGAAACGGUAGCUAAUACCGCAUAACGUCGCAAGACCAAAGAGGGGGACCCUCGGGCCUCUUGCCCUCGGAUGUGCCCAGAUGGGAUUAGCUUGUUGGUGGGGUAACGGCUCACCAAGGCGACGAUCCCUAGCUGGUCUGAGAGGAUGACCAGCCACACUGGAACUGAGACACGGUCCAGACUCCUACGGGAGGCAGCAGUGGGGAAUAUUGCACAAUGGGCGCAAGCCUGAUGCAGCCAUGCCGCGUGUAUGAAGAAGGCCUUCGGGUUGUAAAGUACUUUCAGCGGGGAGGAAGGGAGUAAAGUUAAUACCUUUGCUCAUUGACGUUACCCGCAGAAGAAGCACCGGCUAACUCCGUG
Molecule: ribosomal RNA, 490 nt
Filed under: uncultured bacterium
Lineage: Bacteria
Description: partial 16S ribosomal RNA
Rfam family: Bacterial small subunit ribosomal RNA
Source: RNAcentral